GCCUGUUUAUCAAAAACAUGGCUCUUUGUGUAAAAUAAAUAAAGAGUCGGACCUGCCCGGUGAUAAUUUUUUAACGGCCGCGGUACCCUGACCGUGCAAAGGUAGCAUAAUCAUUUGCCUUGUAAUUUAAGGCUAGUAUGAAGGGUUUGACAAGAAUAUAACUGUCUCCUUUUGGUUCAGUAGAAUUUUACUUGUAAGUGAAGAGGCUUGCAUUAUAUUAAUAGACAAGAAGACCCUAUCGAGCUUAAAAACAAUUAGUAGGUAAAAUCUUAAAUGAAUGACAAAAUUAAAUCUGCUAAAGAUUUUGGUUGGGGCGACUGAGGAACAAAUAAAGCUUCCUUAAAAAUUUUAACAUUCAAGUAGUGAUCCAGGAAAAUUCUGAUUAAAGGAAUUAGUUACCGUAGGGAUAACAGCAUUAUCUUUUUUGAGAGCUCCUAUCGAAAAAAAGGUUUGUGACCUCGAUGUUGGACCAGAAUAUCCCGAAGGUGUAGCAGCCUUCAAAGGUUGGUCUGUUCGACCAUUAAAAUUCUACGUGAUCUGAGUUCA
Molecule: ribosomal RNA, 546 nt
Filed under: Alisimitra samadiae
Lineage: Eukaryota; Metazoa; Mollusca; Gastropoda; Neogastropoda; Costellariidae
Description: partial 16S ribosomal RNA
Rfam family: Bacterial large subunit ribosomal RNA
Source: RNAcentral